UAACACUGAAGUAAAAUUUACAUUUAGUUUCGACCUAAAAAUUAGAAUAAAAUUCCAUGUUUU
This 63-nucleotide transfer RNA is filed under the name Empoascanara gracilis. RNAcentral describes it as "tRNA-Arg". Lineage: Eukaryota; Metazoa; Arthropoda; Insecta; Hemiptera; Cicadellidae. The record is from RNAcentral.